ACGUGGAGNACNCAUCAACUUGGAUUUUGUAAGUAGUUGCGAAUGAACACAAAUUUGAUCACUUUGGCAAUCUGUACACAUUGCUGUGUAACAAUUUGUAUACGUUGGCACAGUGCUAUCAAAGCUGCAUGCAAGUGUUUUUUGAAAGGAUACAACAUGGGAUGUGAUAUUCAUGUGUGUGUGCCUGCUUUGUCCACAGCCUGUGCUGUAUGAAUCACAUUUCUUGCAACUGAAAUGCUAAUGGCAUGGUAAAGUUCAUGUGACAUGACACAAGCUUGAGAUUCAUGAUGUGCAAGUACCAUGAGGGAAAUGUGAAAAGGACUUUGGAAAGAGAAUUAAAUAAAGCCUGCAUUUGCUGACAAUGAAAGCAAGUGUGGAUGUUCAUGUAAUUGUUACUGCAUCAAUCAAUGUUCAUCUUGGUUACUGCAUGCUUUAUAUUACAGCUCAGAACAUGAAGUGUGUGUAACAGCUCUGCUUUGAUUUUUCCCACAUGGGAUCAGUUGAAACAUUGUGAGAGCACUCUUCAGUUUCCUUAUGUACCCACCAGCUUUGUCCACUCGCGUGUUGGCACACAUGUAAUGAUGAUGUGUUUAUGCAAGAUACUUCUGUGCUCAACAACAUGUGUCAUCCUUAUGCC
Molecule: ribosomal RNA, 637 nt
Filed under: Ostreopsis ovata
Lineage: Eukaryota; Dinophyceae; Peridiniales; Ostreopsidaceae
Description: eukaryotic LSU rRNA
Rfam family: Eukaryotic large subunit ribosomal RNA
Source: RNAcentral